GGUCGAAUGCCCGAGUGGUUAUGGGGCUGGCUUCAAGAACGCGAAAGUUUGAUUUCUUGGCCACGUUAUGGCAACACCUCCAGUAUAUCCUGGGUUCGAAUCCCAGUUCGACCA
Molecule: transfer RNA, 114 nt
Organism: Pseudozyma hubeiensis SY62
Lineage: Eukaryota; Fungi; Basidiomycota; Ustilaginomycetes; Ustilaginales; Ustilaginaceae
Rfam family: tRNA
About the family: Transfer RNA (tRNA) molecules are approximately 80 nucleotides in length. Their secondary structure includes four short double-helical elements and three loops (D, anti-codon, and T loops).
Source: Rfam